GUUGAUAUCACAAGGUACACCAAAGGCGAAGGCAUUGCACUGGGCUAGCACUGACCCUGAGAGACGAAAGCGUGGGGAGCAAAACGGAUUAGAUACCCGUGUAGUCCACGCCCUAAACGAUGAAUGCUAAAUGUUCGGGGAUUCGACCCCCUGGGUGUUACAGCUAACGCGUUAAGCAUUCCGCCUGGGAAGUACGGCCGCAAGGCUAAAACUCAAAGGAAUAGACGGGGAUCCGCACAAGCGGUGGAGCGUCUGGUUUAAUUCGACAGUAAGCGUGGUACCUCACCAGGGUUUGACAUCCCUUGACAGCCUUGGAAACAAGGUUUCCUUCGGGCAAGGUGACAGGUGCUGCAUGGUCGUCGUCAGUUCGUGCCGUGAGGUGUUCCGUUAAGUCGGGAAACGAACGAAACCCCUAUUGCAUGUUACAAUUUCUCAUGCAAGACUGCCCGGAUAUACUGGGAGGAAGGUGGGGAUGACGUCAGAUCUGCAUGGUCCUUAUACCCUGGGCGACACAGGCGCUACAAUGGCAGAGACAAAGGGUUGCAAAACCGCAAGGUGAAGCUAGUCCCAAAAACUUUGUCUAAGUUCGGAUUGAAGGCUGCAAUUCGCCUUCAUGAAGCUGGAAUCGCUAGUAAUCGUGAAUCAGCCACGUCACGGUGAAUAUGUUCCCGGAUCUUGUACUCACCGCCCGUCACACCAAGAGAGUUGGUAGCUCCCGAAGCGUCCCGU
This 729-nucleotide ribosomal RNA is filed under the name uncultured organism. RNAcentral describes it as "bacterial SSU rRNA". It matches the Rfam family "Bacterial small subunit ribosomal RNA", at positions 690 to 1434 of the family's 1533-position model. The record is from RNAcentral.